GACAGAUUCUUAUACGAUUUCAUUGAUGGUCACAAACACAAGGUAAGUGAAUUUGUUACUAGUAAUAAUUCCACCCCUUCCCAAUUUGGCUCUACUCAGCUUGCUGGCUUUGUUCUUGACAUGUUCUGCAUCUCCAUGAUUGAUGUAGCUAAUGAAUUUUGUGUUCCUAGUUAUAUUUUCUUUACUUCUGCUGCUGCUUUUCUAGCCCUGUCCUUUCAUUUUGAAGCUUUGAGGAAUAACUUCAAGUUCGAUUAUUCCGAGUCUGAUGAGGAAUUAUCGAUUCUCGGAUUUAAAAAUCCGUAUCCUGCUAAAGUUUUACCUAGACCAGCUAAAGCAAUUACACCAAGCUCGACUUUGUACUACGAUGGGAUUCGUCGUUUUAGAGAGACCAAAGGUAUUGUUAUCAAUACGUUUGCGGAGCUUGAACCUUUUGCUCUUCAGUCAUUGUCUGAUGCUAAAAUGGCUCCUCCGAUUUAUCCCAUUCAUGCUGUAUUCAAUUCGGAUGAUAAUGAGGAAAAACAGGAAAUAGAAAGUAUUGUGGAGUGGUUAGAUAAUCAGCCAAACUCAUCUGUAGUGUUCUUGUGCUUUGGAACCAUGGGUAGUUUUGAACCUGAGCAGGUAAAGGAGAUAGCAAUUGCGUUAGAGCAUAGUGGGCACCGGUUCUUGUGGUCUUUACGAAGGCCUCCACCAAAGGGGAAAAUAGAAAUGCCAAGCAAUUAUGACAAUUCGGAGGAAGUGCUGCCUGAAGGGUUCUUGGAGAGGACAAAAGGAAUUGGGAAACUGGUAGGAUGGGCACCACAAGUGACUGUACUUUCACAUCCUGCGGUGGGGGUAUUCGUGUCACAUUGUGGAUGGAAUUCGACAAUGGAGAGUGUGUGUUGUGGGGUGCCUAUUGCUGCUUGGCCGUUGUAUGCUGAACAACAGAUGAAUGCGUUUUUGUUGGUUAAGGAAUUGGGUUUGGCAGUGGAGAUUCGGAUGGACUAUGUGAAGGACUUUGAGGGGAAAAAUCCAGUUGAUAUAGUUACUGCUGAGGAAAUUGAAGGCGCCAUACAGAAGCUUAUGGAGAAUGGUGAAGAGAAUGAAGUGAGGAAAAGAGUGAAGGAAAUGCGAGAGAAGAGCAGAAAAGCCAUGGAAGAAGGCGGAUCGUCUUAUACCUCUUUACGACUUCUAAUUGACGAUUUCAUCAGCAACAUCUCCUGAAAAAUUUCCGCAAAAAGAUCUUCAGCAAUGGUAGGUUUUUCACUGGAUGCUCAGAACAUAAACUUUUAAAUGCAUUAUGACCAAAGUUUUCUAUGUUGAUAUUUGUUGUUGUUGCAUAUUUUUAGUGUAAUUAUAGUUAGUAUUGGCAGUUCAUG
RNAcentral lists this unclassified non-coding RNA (1355 nucleotides) under Hevea brasiliensis (rubber tree). The record is from RNAcentral. Lineage: Eukaryota; Viridiplantae; Streptophyta; Magnoliopsida; Malpighiales; Euphorbiaceae.